UUAUGGCCUUGCAUUUAUGACAGAAUGCUCUGCUGUGCCUCUCAUUCUAUUCCAUAUCAAAGAAAGCUGUGGCCUUGGAUGGCCUUUAUGACUGUAGGCUGCUGAAACUGUAGUUGGUUGCAUAGUG
Molecule: small nucleolar RNA, 127 nt
Filed under: Microtus ochrogaster (prairie vole)
Lineage: Eukaryota; Metazoa; Chordata; Mammalia; Rodentia; Cricetidae
Description: Small nucleolar RNA SNORA42/SNORA80 family (ENSMOCG00000010274.1)
Source: RNAcentral